Olea europaea var. sylvestris is the source of this 452-nucleotide long non-coding RNA. RefSeq lists it as uncharacterized. Lineage: Eukaryota; Viridiplantae; Streptophyta; Magnoliopsida; Lamiales; Oleaceae. The record is from RefSeq and is a predicted model, not a curated record. The transcript has 2 exons.
AUUCAUAAUUCUUCAAUAUCCUCUCCUCUCCAAUCCAUAUCGGCAGACGGCAUCUCUAGCAAUUCGAAAAGUCCCAAAAGUUUUCCAAUCAAAUCAGGUUUUCAGGGCUUCAUCUUUUCUUGUAGGUUCCCAUAUGGGAAUGAGCAAAUUCCUGAAUUUUGAGAUGAAUUUAGCUCAGCAUUAUCAAAUUACUGCUAUCACGAGGACUUAGCCUUGUCAACCACCGAAAGAGGUAAUUCUAGUACAUCGGGGAAACUGCAAUAUUUUUCAUAGACUGGGUAGAGUGAGAAAGACUAUGAAUUAGGAUUGCAUCUAAAAUGAAUUUAUGAUUUCCACAAUCAGUCCCUUUUAUAGCUUCUAGAAAUUUAUAUACAUAUUCAAUUUCAUUUAGUCUACAAUGUAUGAAAUAUUGAAAUUCGACCCUUUGUGGAAGGUUUGACUCUCUUUCUUUA